Heterocephalus glaber (naked mole-rat) is the source of this 5651-nucleotide non-coding RNA. The record is from RefSeq and is a predicted model, not a curated record. Lineage: Eukaryota; Metazoa; Chordata; Mammalia; Rodentia; Bathyergidae.
UUGGAAGAAUCUCCCCGAAAACUGGUAAAUCGAUUGUUUCGGGAAAGAGAUGUGGAGACAGGGUAACCAGCCUGCUGUUGGUUGACUCCACAGAUGCAAAGCCCACAGACUCAGAAAGCAGCCCCCGCUGGUAAAUCCCGUGCUCCCCGGGUCUGAUGAACCAGGCCCCACGCUGCACACUGCACCCCAGCAAGGGAACUUGAUCUUCACAUCUCCCCAGGGAGCCUUGGCCCCAUUUGACAGGGAGAACACGGCCUCCACUUCCGAAGAUCGGCCCGCCUGCGAGGCAGCCUGCCCGUCCCAUUCUCCUGCUCCUGCUCCUGCUCGGCCAGCCCUGCUCAGGGUCCCUACCCUGGCACAGGACCCCGCUCCCUGGGCAGUGACGGCAACUGAGAUGCGGCCAAUCAGAAGAGGCGUGUUGGUUCUUCUCCAGCUUCCUUCUCUUCUUCCAAGUAAGGUGGGAGGGCUCCUGGUACGGCUUGAUUCAGACCAGAGAGAGGAACGGAUCUCCUCUUGGCCAGCCCCAAAGAAAGCUCGUUGGGGGUGAGGCCCUGGCCCGCAGUGCAGCAGGAGUCUGCUGAGAACUCAGGUGGUGAGAACUCAGGUCCCCACCAGACCGGCUUCCGUUCCUCGACUUUGGGGCAGACACAGAAAUGAAGCCUAGGAUAGGGAGGAAGACAGCACAUGGGAAGGUCAUACUUGGGCUGGGACAGAAGCCCGCAGCUGCAGCCCAUCCCCGCAGGCCCCAGGAGCUGAGAGGCCACCCUGCCACCUCUCCCCACACACAGGGGCCCUCGGCCAGGCGUGGGAACAUCUCAGAGGAGGGGCUGGCCGCAGGAAGGGCCGGGCCUGACCGCCAGGCCGGAAUGCGGAGGAUGGAGGACGGGGCUCUGACUCACCCAGGCCUCUCACAUGGAGAAGGGCUUGGCUGGGGCUGGGCAUGUGGCAGGGAGGGAGCUGGCAGGGGCACGACAGGAAAGGAGGCCUCGAAGAGAGGGGACAGGUCACCCAGGGCAAGGGCCAGUUCGAAACAGCAACCCGCCCCUGGAUUUGGGGUCUCUUCUUUCUUGUAGCGCAUCCUUCCGACUCAAGCAACCAGGCAGGAAGCCUCUGAGAGCCAUGAAUGCCAGGUGAGGGCAGCACCCUGAACAGCACCAGCUCCAGGUUCGCGGCUGCCUGGGCGUUCAGAGCGGGCUUGGGCGAGGCCCUCGUGGGCCAUCCUGCCUUAUUCUCACCAAGCUGAGCGCAAACCAUAUUGGGGACGUUUUCUGGGCAGCACAAGAGCUCUCAUAGCACAAAGGCACCAGGGGGCAGCCAUUUCCUGAUUUGCAUGUGGGUAGAUGGGCCUCUGAGGAAGAAGUUCCAUGGGAGGCAAGAACCAGGUAGAAGUGAGGGGUCCAAUUAUGACUCUUUGUACUGCUAGGAUUUUGGUUACAAGUGAAGGAAGAAAACCCAUCUUUUUUUGUUUGUUUAAUGCAACAAUGAAAUUUCUUGGCCUUAGACCUUAAGUCUAAGGGGUUGACUAGUUCCAGACGGGGCUUGAUCAGGAGUUCUAAAACAAUGUCACAAGAUCUGGUGCUCCCUGUUGUCUUUUGGUUCACCUCUUCUCCAAGUAAGCAGCUCUGUCCCAGGCUGGUUCUACCCCAUGGUGUCAAGAUGGCUGCAGAAGCCCCAGGCCUCACUCUCUUUCCUGAGAGCAAAGGACCAGUACAUUUCUCUAAUAGCUCAAAGUUCUGUAACUGAGUUUCAUUGGCUCUGAUUGGCCUGAAUUUGGCCAGGUACCCUAAUCAAUGAUUGUGGCAGGGGAAGGGAGUGUACUGACUGACAGUGUGGGACAGAGACGUGAAUAGGAGCUUGCUCUCAGCAGUGAUGGGGCAGCCCAUUACUGCACGUGAGUGAAUGGGGACAGGGUGACGAGAAACACUGGCCCUUUAUUCCUUUCAGAGGAAGGACUUCCUGGAAAAGCUGAAGGGGCUUCUGUGGGGUCCAGGUUGCAAGGUGGGAUACAAGUUAGAGAGAGGAAACUUCUGCUUGUUUCCUCUCAGAGCACAAACCCUUUUGGCUGUGGUCACACCGGCCAGCAUGAGGUGUCACGCACACCCUGAGCACAAAGCAGGGAGAGAGGCAGGGUCCUCACCUCAGCUGGGCACAGGCAUCGGCGGGAGGCAGAGGGAAGGGACCCCAGCAGGCUGGGCAUCGGCGCUCUCGGGUACAAGGGAUGUCCGGAGGUGACUCAGGCGGACAGUGCAGGGUGAGGCAGUGGAGGUCUCCUCUCCCAAAGGAGCAGCAUCUGGGACCACUGGGGACAUUUGCUGCCUGUGACGGGAGGAGCUCCUGCCUGAGGGCCAAAAGUGCUGAUUCCCCUUCCUGGUAAAUGGGAGACACCUCCGGCCGCCCGCAGAGAAAGCCCGGGGAAAGGCUGCCCAGCUGCCCUGGAGCCAAGCCUGUUCCUGCUACUUGUCCUGGUCUGGGAGGCCCCAGCCCAGACACCAGUGCUAGCCCAGGUGCCCCAGAGGCACGCACAGCUUAGAAAAAGCCCACAGAGCAGCAGGCCCGGAUGUGCCCUGUGGAGCUGGCGUCCUGGAGGCCCUGAGGCAGCAGUCAGCCAGGGACGUGGAUGGCUCUCAGGACUGGGUCUGAGGAUGACGCUUCCCAGGCUGGCCUUGGCCUUUCCGGUUCUACUGGUUACAGACCAAGGGCAGCUGGAGGGCCAAAGGCAGAAGAAGCACACCAAAAUCGCAAGCCUGCCCACGCCCUCCAUGAACAGCUUCCUCCUACAGGCUCAUGGCACGGAUUCAAAUCGGAGGACAGGAAGGAGGGUCCACACCGCGUGCCUCCCUGCUUCCAGCACCCUUGCUCCUUUUCGGGCUCACUGCCCUUCGGACAAGGAUAGCUGUUUCCAGAAUGAGAGCUGGUCACCAGGACCCGUGCCUCCUCCAGUGGAAGCCACGCCUGGCCUCUGUCCUGUGCAUCUGUGGGUCCCGGCUGGAAAUACUCCUUUCCAUGGCUGCCCCAGUCAGCAGCUCCAGCUUCCUCUCAGGAGAAAGCCCACCACCUCACUGGGGGUCUGCCUGGGUCUCAGUCCCUUCCUGAGGGAGCGGUCAGGGUGGGGGGAGAGCGAGGCUUUGAAGUGAGAUGGAUGAGUGUUCAUCGCAGCAGCGCCUGUGCGGGCUGGCAGCAGAACUCGAACAGGUUACUUCCCUUCUCCCGAUGCCAGUGCGCUUAUCUGCAAACAGAGUGGCGAGACCCCCAGGCUUGCUGGAGGAGCGGAUAUAAGAGAACAAAGCUCCUGAGCCGCUUCGGGAGACAUCUCUCUGGUCACUCACUUUGUUCCAGGCUCUCCACACCAAAUCCAGAUGACUUCCUAUUCCACUUCCACCUCCAGGCCAAACACCGGCUUGUUGGUCCGGUGAUCACACACAGCCAGCCAGGCUCUGUCUGAUACUGACUGUGUUUCCUCAGCUCCACAGCCCUGGGAGGUGACACCACUGAGCUCGUUUGACUCAAGAGGCCCCUGGAACUCAGAGAGAGCCGAGAGUCCACAGGCUGUGGGGUGCAAAGCCAGCAGUCGAUGCCUGGUCUCCUCAGACUGCUUCUCUGCUGGAAUGUUCCCCUUUUCUCCUCCUGGAUUCCAUCAGUUAUUUAGGGUCUCUUUCCUUCCAUCUCUUUCAGAACACCUUCUGAAUCAGUGAGGAUACUUGGUUGCAGAUGACAGAUACCUCUAUCCCAGGUAGGCAUUGUGGUGCCUGCCUUUAAUCUCUGCACUUGGAAGGCUGAGGCAGGAAGAUCAUGGGUGUGAGGUCCGCCUGGGCUGCAUAGCAAACCCUGUCUCCAAAUAAACAAAAAGCUUCUACCCUAAACAGGCUUAAGAAAACAAUGGAACUUUUUGGCUCAAUUAAUCACCAAACCAAGGGCUCUUGUUCUAGGUAAGGUUGGAUACAAAGCUCAAAAACUGUCAUCAGUGGUUUUCUUCUUUCUAAACAGUGGUUCUGCCUUCCUCUACGAACACUAAAGUUUUAGGCUCCACAUGGCACCAGAAGGGCAUAGUGGCUCCAGGCCCAGUGCCCCCGGAACUGGACCCUGUGGAUUAGUGAUCAUGAGGAUGGAGUCACAGCCUGGCCUUAGCAACUUUACAACAAGACAAAGAGACUGGAGCAGGCAAUCUUGCCCUGUCUCAUCAGUUGAUGCCAUCUGCCACGUCACCACGCAGCAAGAAGCCCUCGCUGAGGGAUGCUAAGCAGGCACUGAUGCCAUGUUCUUAGAUUUCCUGGCUCCCAGGACCGUGAGCCAGAUAAACUUCUGUUCUUUAUAAUUUAGCCUGUCUCAGGUUGUUUCAGAUAGCAACCAAAAACAGACUAAGACAGGAGUCAUCUGGUCCAACCCCAAAAUUCUGAGGAGGAAGUUAAGGCUCAGAGAAUGAAAUGACGUGUCCAAGGGCCCAUGAGCUAUUGCUGCCACCCACCCUGGAAAGGUCUUAUGGUGCUGAAGGUGGUGAGGAAUGGACACAGCACUCUGAAAUUAUCCGUGUGGCAGGGUCUUCCUCAGUUUCCCUGAAGAGAACACCCAGAGGUGACUUCCAGCUUGAACGUGGUUGCCAUUAACCAAACUCUGAAAACCAAGGUCUCAACUGGAAUUUUCUUCCUUUUAUGGCAAAGGUGAUGGAAAUAUCCAAUGCAUCAAUUUCUUCACUUCCUGGAGGCUGUUCAGCACACCUGAGGCACGUAGUCCAGGAGGCCUCGUGCCACAUACUUGAAUUCCUUCCCUGGACCCCCUGCAGACCAAUCUCUCCCCCAUCCUCUUUGACCUGCUAUUUCUCAAGAUGUAACCGAUAUAACCUGCUGGCCCGCAUGUUCUUAGCUACGAUAGCUCAACCAUUGCUCCGCUCAGAGCUUGUGCCCAGGUGGCCUCAUUUAGAGUCUGAGCAUUCCCAAAUCAUUUCAAUCACACAUUCCUGACAGUCCUUUGGACCGGGCUGCUUCAGAGGAUUCAUACAUUCAUUCAGCUCCGUAUGCCCGGUUCAUUGAUUAUGUGUCAGGCUCCAGGCACACGGUGGUAAACAAGACUUUUUGGUGAUUGUCACCAGGGAAGCAAUGACAGCAAACAUUCAGCUUAUACAGAAGACUUCAGCUGAGGGGAGGACAGAAAAGCGGGCCAUUCUGGACACUUGGUACUAGUGAGGGCACUGUCGCAGUAAUCCAAGCAGGAGGUCAUGGUGACCAGAAUAGCAUGCUAGCCACAGGGUUGGAAAGAAGUGAACAGAUUUGAGACGGUAAAGUCAAGUGGCUUUGUUGGUGGCUUGAGGCAGCAUGGGGUACUGUUGAAGAGCCUGACUCUACCAAUAAGUACAUCGUCCUUCUGGGCCUCAGUUUCCUUGUCUGUGAAACAAUGAUACCUCAAACUGUAUCUGAUUAUAAAUUCAGGAUGGCUUAUAUGUAGAUGUUCUCCCAAACCUCAUGCACUCAUAGGUGGGGCUUUUUAGAGAUGGCUGCAUCUAAAGCAUGUGAUACUGGGACUAAGGGUGUAUAGUACUAAAUUAGUCCACUGAUUGAAAUUAGCAUAGGUCUGAGUCGCACCACCCAAAAGACUGAUAGCCUGGAUGGGAUAAAAGGAAAAGGCUGGCUUGCUGCUGCUGCUCUGCUGCCUCCUGCUUG